GAGUUUGAUCCUGGCUCAGGAUGAACGCUGGCGGCAUGCCUAAGACAUGCAAGUUGAACGAGGAUGGUUUAUCGAUUUUUUUAUGUUUACAUAGAAUUUGAAAUGAAUUUUUCCUAGUAGCGGAUGGGUGAGUAACACGUGGGUAACCUGCCUUUAAGUUGGGGAUAACAGUCGGAAACGAUUGCUAAUACCGAAUGUGGAGAUAAAUUUGUUUUUAUCUUUAAAGGUGCUUUCAAGCACUGCUUAGAGAUGGGCCUGCGGUGUAUUAGCUUGUUGGUAAGGUAAUGGCUUACCAAGGCGAUGAUGCAUAGCUGGACUGAGAGGUUGAUUGGCCACAUUGGGACUGAGACACGGCCCAGACUCCCACGGGAGACAGCAGUUAGGAAUCUUUGACAAUGGGGGAAACCCUGAUCAAGCGAUGCCGCGUGAGUGAUGAAGGUCUAUUUGAUCGUAAAACUCUGUUGUAUAGGAAGAACGUCUAGAAGAGGAAAUGUUUCUAGAGUGACGGUACUAUACCAGAAAGCCCCGGCUAACUACGUGCCAGCAGCCGCGGUAAA
This 557-nucleotide ribosomal RNA is filed under the name uncultured bacterium. RNAcentral describes it as "bacterial SSU rRNA". It matches the Rfam family "Bacterial small subunit ribosomal RNA", at positions 9 to 524 of the family's 1533-position model. The record is from RNAcentral.